UGGGGAAUUGUUCGCAAUGGGCGCAAGCCUGACGACGCAACGCCGCGUGGAGGAUGAAGAAUUUCGGUUCGUAAACUCCUGUCGAGCGGGACGAACACCGUGCGAGUGAAUAUCUCGUGCGGCUGACGGUACCGCUAAAGGAAGCCCCGGCUAACUCCGUGCCAGCAGCCGCGGUAAUACGGGGGGGGCAAGCGUUGUUCGGAAUUACUGGGCGUAAAGGGUCUGUAGGCGGCCAACUAAGUCAGACGUGAAAUCCCUCGGCUCAACCGGGGAACUGCGUCUGAUACUGGAUGGCUUGAAUCCGGGAGAGGGAUGCGGAAUUCCAGGUGUAGCGGUGAAAUGCGUAGAUAUCUGGAGGAACACCGGUGGCGAAGGCGGCAUCCUGGACCGGCAUUGACGCUGAGAGACGAAAGCCAGGGGAGCAAACGG
This 429-nucleotide ribosomal RNA is filed under the name uncultured bacterium. RNAcentral describes it as "bacterial SSU rRNA". It matches the Rfam family "Bacterial small subunit ribosomal RNA", at positions 355 to 775 of the family's 1533-position model. The record is from RNAcentral.